This 253-nucleotide ribosomal RNA is filed under the name uncultured bacterium. RNAcentral's name for it is "partial 16S ribosomal RNA". It matches the Rfam family "Bacterial small subunit ribosomal RNA", at positions 524 to 776 of the family's 1533-position model. The record is from RNAcentral.
UACGUAGGGUGCGAGCGUUAAUCGGAAUUACUGGGCGUAAAGCGUGCGCAGGCGGUUAUGUAAGACAGUUGUGAAAUCCCCGGGCUCAACCUGGGAACUGCAUCUGAGACUGCAUUGCUGGAGUGCGGCAGAGGGGGAUGGAAUUCCGCGUGUAGCAGUGAAAUGCGUAGAUAUGCGGAGGAACACCGAUGGCGAAGGCAAUCCCCUGGGCCUGCACUGACGCUCAUGCACGAAAGCGUGGGGAGCAAACAGG